UCGAAUCCUGCGGGAGAGACCGGCCCUCGCGGCCGGCGCCGAAGGAGCAACCGGCCCCGGAAACUCUCAGGCACCAGGGACCGCAGGGGGAUG
RNAcentral lists this non-coding RNA (93 nucleotides) under Lutibaculum baratangense AMV1. RNAcentral's name for it is "Phyllobacteriaceae bacterium AMV1 Glycine riboswitch aptamer". It matches the Rfam family "Glycine riboswitch aptamer". From Rfam's summary of the family: This family represents the bacterial glycine riboswitch. Lineage: Bacteria; Pseudomonadati; Pseudomonadota; Alphaproteobacteria; Hyphomicrobiales; Tepidamorphaceae. The record is from Rfam by way of RNAcentral. RNAcentral also lists the same sequence under 1 other name.